RNAcentral lists this long non-coding RNA (1510 nucleotides) under Theobroma cacao (cacao). Its description in RNAcentral is "long non-coding RNA (TCAC_LNC004184)". Lineage: Eukaryota; Viridiplantae; Streptophyta; Magnoliopsida; Malvales; Malvaceae. The record is from RNAcentral.
UGUACAAAAGUAGUAUUUAUAGUCUGUACAAAAGCGUAACCUGAUGAAAGAGAAAACUAUAACUAAUCCUAAGAUUAAUUACUUCAACUAACUAAACUAAUUUUUGAAAAAUACACUUUAUUAAUUAAACACUGCAUUUGAUGCCUUUCACUGGUUCCUUCUUUAUUUUAAAUGAAACGGUGCGUCUUGAGUUUUCCUUGUCGUACUUAUGGCUUCCUCUUUCUCAUAGUCUCGAUCUCUCUUCUUCCUUCUCUUCUUGUUUCUAGUUCAGCCUUCAUCAGGGAUUCAACCAUUUAUGAUGUUCUUGGACUUAUUUUGCAGCUCACUUUAGAUAUGCCAUUUCAAGUCUCUAACCUGAUAAGCCAAAGACUUCCAUGGCAUUAAAACCCCGGUAUGGGAGUAAAGCGGUCAAUUUGAUUAUACAAAGUGAGUCAACCAAUAAAAAACAGAUGCUCGAAAACAACAUAUACAACAAGCCCUGUGACCAAGAGAAGGGUAUCAUAAAGGCCAGAGCAUCCAAAAAACAGAGGCCAAAACCUAUACAUUUACCAACCCUCAGCUGUGAUUGCAGCAAACAAAAAAUAAAGAAAGGACACAGCUCUAAUUUGCAAUUGGAAUUCCAAAGCGAUAAGGGACUGUAAAAAAGUAUGAAUGAAGCAAAAGCACACUGAAUGGCACCAUCACAAACAUCCCGGGCCAUCAGAAACCAUGAAAUCAGGGGCUCACUAGCGGAAAACACAAAAAAAAACCAUUAUCACCAAUCAACAAAGCCACGAGAUGUAGAUGACAAACCAGAGCCAGCAUCUUAACAUGAAAAGUAAACAAGAGAUCCAUCGCUCCAUCAGACCGUUCCACCAGCUUAAAAACUCAUUGGUUCACAGUGCACAAAUGCCAGCAUCAAAAUCUUUAGCAAAGGAAAAGAAAACAUCCCCGCAUCUAGAUAAGAAACAGAGGAAUUUCACUAUUGUUCUUCUACUUAUUGUACAUACAGAGAGCAACGUAACAUUGAUUGGGUAAAUUAUUGAGAGCAAAAGAUCACUUAAAAUACAAAAAUAAGGAUAAGAAAAAGGGGAAUUUCACUCUUCUUCUUCUACUUAUUGUUUGUAGAGAGAGCAACAUAACAUUGAUUGGGUAAAUUAUUGAAAACAAGGGAUCCCUUCGCUUGACAACUCCAUGAAGCAAAGUAAUUUCAACACCUUGUUUUUUUUAUAUAUAAAUAUAAUAAAGUUUAACGCAAGUGAACCACCCAAACUUGAUUAGGAAUAGGCAAACAAAAGAAAGAAAUAGAAAGCAAAAGCAGCCUUUGUUUUACCCGUGUUUUGUUGACAGCCUCAACUACUCAUUUAUUUUGCAACUUCCCCUGAAUCAUUCUUUCAUGUAAGGUGUUAGCUGAUCCCCUGUGCUUCGGGACCAAAAUAUGUUCUCGAAGUGAACUGCAUUUUGAGUAGUGGUAGAUCCUUCGGUGACGUCUUGCUCAACUUGUCGUGGUAUCCUUCAGAAAAAUUGAAAU